This 303-nucleotide ribosomal RNA is filed under the name uncultured bacterium. RNAcentral's name for it is "partial 16S ribosomal RNA". It matches the Rfam family "Bacterial small subunit ribosomal RNA", at positions 507 to 807 of the family's 1533-position model. The record is from RNAcentral.
AGCAGUAGCCGCGGUAAUACGUAGGGUGCGAGCGUUAAUCGGAAUUACUGGGCGUAAAGCGUGCGCAGGCGGUUUUGUAAGACAGAGGUGAAAUCCCCGGGCUCAACCUGGGAACUGCCUUUGUGACUGCAAGGCUAGAGUACGGCAGAGGGGGAUGGAAUUCCGCGUGUAGCAGUGAAAUGCGUAGAUAUGCGGAGGAACACCGAUGGCGAAGGCAAUCCCCUGGGCCUGUACUGACGCUCAUGCACGAAAGCGUGGGGAGCAAACAGGAUUAGAUACCCCGGUAGUCCCUGUCUCUUAUAC